Molecule: ribosomal RNA, 468 nt
Filed under: uncultured bacterium
Lineage: Bacteria
Description: partial 16S ribosomal RNA
Rfam family: Bacterial small subunit ribosomal RNA
Source: RNAcentral
GACGAACGCUGGCGGCGUGCUUAACACAUGCAAGUCGAACGGAAAGGCCCUGCUUUUGUGGGGUGCUCGAGUGGCGAACGGGUGAGUAACACGUGAGUAACCUGCCCUUGACUUUGGGAUAACUUCAGGAAACUGGGGCUAAUACCGGAUAUGAGCUCCUGCUGCAUGGUGGUGGUUGGAAAGUUUCGGCGGUUGGGGAUGGACUCGCGGCUUAUCAGCUUGUUGGUGGGGUAGUUGCUUACCAAGGCUUUGACGGGUAGCCGGCCUGAGAGGGUGACCGGCCACAUUGGGACUGAGAUACGGCGCAGACUCCUACGGGAGGCAGCAGGGGGGAAUAUUGCACAAUGGGCGGAAGCCUGAUGAAGCAACGCCGCGUGCGGGAUGACGGCCUUCGGGUUGUAAACCGCUUUCGCCUGUGACGAAGCGUGAGUGACGGUAAUGGGUAAAGAAGCAACGGCUAACUACGUG